CAACCCUCGAGCCCCCCGUGGCCCGGCGUUGGGGAUCUGCCACGGCAGGCCCCGAAAUCCAGUGGCGGACCCGCUGGGCCCUCUCCUUGCGUAGUAGCAUCAGCCUCGCAUCGGGAGCCCGCGUGGCAUUCCUGCCUCUAAACCCCCCGCAAGCCCGCCCCCGGCGGCACCAAGG
This 175-nucleotide unclassified non-coding RNA is filed under the name uncultured Gliocladium. Its description in RNAcentral is "sequence contains ITS2". The record is from RNAcentral. Lineage: Eukaryota; Fungi; Ascomycota; Sordariomycetes; Hypocreales.